This is a non-coding RNA of Pelobates cultripes (western spadefoot toad), 713 nucleotides long. Lineage: Eukaryota; Metazoa; Chordata; Amphibia; Anura; Pelobatidae. The record is from the annotation of a GenBank genome assembly.
UUACACCCUCCCCAUAGGAAAGCACUGCAGCAAUGCUUUCCAGUGGGGAUUUUGAUGAUGCUGGAUGUCCUCGUACAGAGCGUGAAAAUGUCCAGCAUCAGUUCGGCAAGCAGGAAGUGCCUUUAGUGGCUGUCUGAUUGACAGCCACUAGAGGCAGUCUUACCCUGCAAUACAAUUAUUGCAGUUUCUCAGAAACUGUAAUAAUUACCAUUGCAGGGUUAAGCGGACAGAGACAUUGCACCUAGACCACUUCAAAUAGAUGAAGUGUUUCUGGGUGCCUAUAGUGUCCCUUUAACUAUAAACUUAAUUUAAGAAGAGACUUGGGUAAAAAGAAUAGUGAUUUAGUUACAAUGCAUAAUCAUAUGUUGCAUAAGUCUGUCACAGUGCCAAUGCUGCGCAUACAUAUAUAUGUAUAUUUAGACUUGUGUAAAGAUUAAGGGCCGCAAACUUUACAGAAGUCAUCCGUGCAAUAUCGCCUGUUCAUUAUGUUAUAAGAAUGAAGUACGGAAUUCUAAAACAUGAUCAGUCCUAUGUAUUAAUGCUAAACCUAACCAAUAGAGUUUUGGAACAAAAAAAGUCUAAAGUUGUGUUUUCCCCCAGGUUACAAAACAAUUAAACUCCUAAUUUGAUCACUUGUCCGUAUGAACAAAUGCUUGUCCAAACCAAUAGAUGACAUUUCUAAUGCCAGCUCUUGCUGAACUUGUUAUAGUCAG